ACUGAACACCAAAGAACAAGAUUAACUAUGCAAAUUAUUAACAAUAUAAAUAGCCAUAAAUAGCCAAAGCUAUAACACUUGUGUUUUCUUUGUAACAAAAUACUGUUGAAAAACAAACAGAACUAAACUCCACUGUGGAGAUGAUUGGAGCAUGUUGAAAAUUCUUCUUCAAUCAAGUUCUCUUACAUUUACAAAGUAAAUGAAAUGGCUAGUGUUUCACACUGAGGUAACUGAGGCUUACUGCCUGUGCUGCAAACCACACAUCAAAAGAGGAGGCUUGCUCUCUGUGCUGUGACAAUGUCACCUGCAGUGACCAGCUUGUGUAAGGGCAGCUGUAGCAUCACCUGUUUCUCCUUCAACACAGCUGCAGCUGUUGUGCUGCGGUGGAAAAACGUGACAACUGUCCUCACUCUGCCGAGGAGUCGGGACGUCUGGUGAACGCCCAUCGCUCUCUGCGCAGCCAGAUUAACGUAUAUGCGGUGAAAAUCCGGCCGCUUCGACAGCAUUGGCAAUGUUUCUGCCGUUAUCUGUUGUCACUUAAAGCACUUACAGCAAAUUGUGUGGGUCUUGUCGACUACACGAUUGCCGUCCUUUAUCUCCACCAUGUAGCCCAAAUGUUGCCAUACUGCUGACUGACAUGAAGAGGGAGGAUCCGCUAUUUCUGGGUUGGUUGCCAUGUUUCCUCACGUUCUUCAACUAGCUCAACUUUUGCAGGCAGGCGUCACAUGAUUCAUUGGAUCUGAACGGGAGGGAUCACUCUGGGAGUUGGAAGGGGUGUGUCACGAUUCUGCCUUCUCACACCGCGACACAGGAUCGUGCAUCUGAGUGUCGCGAUUUCGGUUUCAUAUUGCAUAUUGUUACAGCCCUACUCAUAAUUCAUUGAAUAAUUGCUUAAUAUUGUUUGUGCUAUGUUCUUACCUUGUGGACCACAUGGAUUUGCCAGUGGAGGGUGUGAGGGUUGAUGAUUUUAAAUGAACUUAGCUUUGUGUAUUCAAAGUGAAUGACUGAAUACCUAGUUACAUGACCCACAUAACCAAUAACCUCUGUUAUGAAUGUGAUUCUAAACUUUUCAUUUUUGAAAGUGACUAAAACUGUGAGGUGAGGUGUCAGGUGUUCUUCACUGCAACUUACAUUCCCUUCAUUUUCCUUUUCCCCUUUUACCAGCCAAACCACAACCUGUCAGAAGUUAGUAGCGUUGGCUCAUACUUAUGAGUACAAACACACAGACAAAUACAUUAUGCUUACCUUUAAAUAAAAUGCCACCUUUCCUAUGUGCCUCUAAGUGGCUCUGCA
This is a long non-coding RNA of Solea senegalensis (Senegalese sole), 1293 nucleotides long. RefSeq lists it as uncharacterized. The transcript is spliced from 2 exons. Lineage: Eukaryota; Metazoa; Chordata; Actinopteri; Pleuronectiformes; Soleidae. The record is from RefSeq and is a predicted model, not a curated record.